CUCGGAAGCUAAGCAGGCUCAGGCCUGGUUAGUACUUGGAUGGGAGACCGCCUGGGAAUACCAGGUGCCGUAGGCUU
RNAcentral lists this ribosomal RNA (77 nucleotides) under Paratrygon ajereba. RNAcentral also lists the same sequence under 2 other names. The record is from RNAcentral. Lineage: Eukaryota; Metazoa; Chordata; Chondrichthyes; Myliobatiformes; Potamotrygonidae.